GAUGAAGAACGCAGCGAAAUGCGAUACGUAAUGUGAAUUGCAGAAUUCAGUGAAUCAUCGAGUCUUUGAACGCACAUUGCGCCCCCUGGUAUUCCGGGGGGCAUGCCUGUCCGAGCGUCAUUGCUGCCCUCAAGCACGGCUUGUGUGUUGGGCCUCCGUCCUCCUCCCGGGGGACGGGCCCGAAAGGCAACGGCGGCACCGCGUCCGGUCCUCGAGCGUAUGGGGCUUCGUCACCCGCUCUUGUAGGCCCGGCCGGCGCUUGCCGACACAUCAAUCUUUUUUCCAGGUUGACCUCGGAUCAGGUAGGGAUACCCGCUGAACUUAAGCAUAUCAAUAAGCGGAGGA
Molecule: unclassified non-coding RNA, 345 nt
Filed under: soil metagenome
Description: partial contains 5.8S ribosomal RNA, internal transcribed spacer 2, and large subunit ribosomal RNA
Rfam family: 5.8S ribosomal RNA (bases 1-120)
Source: RNAcentral